This 374-nucleotide long non-coding RNA is filed under the name Bos taurus (domestic cattle). RNAcentral's name for it is "long non-coding RNA NONBTAT007215". The record is from RNAcentral. Lineage: Eukaryota; Metazoa; Chordata; Mammalia; Artiodactyla; Bovidae.
UUGAGUAGGAAUGGAGUUGAAUGGCUUAAAACCUGGGGUAGGAAUUAAAUGGGAUCAUAUACUCUAGUAUAUUCUAAUACUCCCAGCACCAUAACUGAUACAAACAGAGUCAAUAAAUUGCGGUUUCUUUUCCUUUUUGACACUGAGAUUCUUGGAUUUUAAGAUGCUCUAAUAUGGAUUGUUGGCCCUUUGGCUUUAAUAUGCCACAGUUCUAUAAUUUCAACACACUGUAAUUCUGCCCUGCUAACAUGCUAUGAUUUUAAUAUUCUAACUUGCCAUAAUUGUGUGACUGUAGAAACUGCACAGUCUAUGAUUUUGUAAUUUAAUAGUCUCUAGCUUUAACAAUCCCAGAUUCAAUAAAAUGUCUCUUACCA